GCUUAACACAUGCAAGUCGAGGGGCAGCAUGGUCCUAUCUUGCUAAGGCCGAUGGCGACCGGCGCACGGGUGAGUAACACGUAUCCAACCUGCCGUCUACUCUUGGACAGCCUUCUGAAAGGAAGAUUAAUACAAGAUGGCAUCAUGAGUCCGCAUGUUCACAUGAUUAAAGGUAUUCCGGUAGGCGAUGGGGAUGCGUUCCAUUAGAUAGUAGGCGGGGUAACGGCCCACCUAGUCUUCGAUGGAUAGGGGUUCUGAGAGGAAGGUCCCCCACAUUGGAACUGAGACACGGUCCAAACUCCUACGGGAGGCAGCAGUGAGGAAUAUUGGUCAAUGGGCGAGAGCCUGAACCAGCCAAGUAGCGUGAAGGAUGACUGCCCUAUGGGUUGUAAACUUCUUUUAUAAAGGAAUAAAGUCGGGUAUGGAUACCCGUUUGCAUGUACUUUAUGAAUAAGGAUCGGCUAACUCCGUGCCAGCAGCCGCGGUAAUACGGAGGAUCCGAGCGUUAUCCGGAUUUAUUGGGUUUAAAGGGAGCGUAGAUGGAUGUUUAAGUCAGUUGUGAAAGUUUGCGGCUCAACCGUAAAAUUGCAGUUGAUACUGGAUAUCUUGAGUGCAGUUGAGGCAGGCGGAAUUCGUGGUGUAGCGGUGAAAUGCUUAGAUAUCACGAAGAACUCCGAUUGCGAAGGCAGCCUGCUAAGCUGCAACUGACAUUGAGGCUCGAAAGUGUGGGUAUCAAACAGGAUUAGAUACCCUGGUAGUCCACACGGUAAACGAUGAAUACUCGCUGUUUGCGAUAUACUGCAAGCGGCCAAGCGAAAGCGUUAAGUAUUCCACCUGGGGAGUACGCCGGCAACGGUGAAACUCAAAGGAAUUGACGGGGGCCCGCACAAGCGGAGGAACAUGUGGUUUAAUUCGAUGAUACGCGAGGAACCUUACCCGGGCUUAAAUUGCAGAUGAAUUACGGUGAAAGCCGUAAGCCGCAAGGCAUCUGUGAAGGUGCUGCAUGGUUGUCGUCAGCUCGUGCCGUGAGGUGUCGGCUUAAGUGCCAUAACGAGCGCAACCCUUGUUGUCAGUUACUAACAGGUUCCGCUGAGGACUCUGACAAGACUGCCAUCGUAAGAUGUGAGGAAGGUGGGGAUGACGUCAAAUCAGCACGGCCCUUACGUCCGGGGCUACACACGUGUUACAAUGGGGGGUACAGAGGGCCGCUACCACGCGAGUGGAUGCCAAUCCCCAAAACCUCUCUCAGUUCGGACUGGAGUCUGCAACCCGACUCCACGAAGCUGGAUUCGCUAGUAAUCGCGCAUCAGCCACGGCGCGGUGAAUACGUUCCCGGGCCUUGUACACACCGCCCGUCAAGCCAUGGGAGCCGGGGGUACCUGAAGUGCGUAACCGCGAGGAGCGCCCUAGGGUAAAACUGGUGACUGGG
This 1429-nucleotide ribosomal RNA is filed under the name uncultured bacterium. Its description in RNAcentral is "16S ribosomal RNA". It matches the Rfam family "Bacterial small subunit ribosomal RNA". The record is from RNAcentral.